GUGAGUCAUCGAAUCUUUGAACGCAUAUUGCGCUCUUUGGUAUUCCGAAGAGCAUGCUUGUUUGAGUAUCAGUAAACACCUCAAAGCUUUUGGAUUUUUUUUAAAAGUUUUGGACUUGAGCAAUCCCAACACCAAUCUUUUUCAGAUCGGCGGCGGGUUGCUUGAAAUGCAGGUGCAGCUGGACAUUCUCCUGAGCUAAAAGCAUAUUCAUUUAGUCCCGUCAAACGGAUUAUUACUUUUGCUGCAGCUAACAUAAAGGGAGUUUGACCGCAUUGGCUGACUGAUGCAGGAUUUUACAAGGGUCGGCAACGAUUCUUGUUAAACUCGAUCUCAAAUCAAGUAAGACUACCCGCUGAACUUAAGCAUAUCAAUAAGCGGAGGA
RNAcentral lists this unclassified non-coding RNA (382 nucleotides) under Mortierella sp. RNAcentral's name for it is "partial contains 5.8S ribosomal RNA, internal transcribed spacer 2, and large subunit ribosomal RNA". The stretch from base 1 to 71 matches the Rfam family "5.8S ribosomal RNA", at positions 84 to 154 of the family's 154-position model. The record is from RNAcentral. Lineage: Eukaryota; Fungi; Mortierellomycota; Mortierellomycetes; Mortierellales; Mortierellaceae.